RNAcentral lists this ribosomal RNA (231 nucleotides) under uncultured fungus. Its description in RNAcentral is "partial 18S ribosomal RNA". It matches the Rfam family "Eukaryotic small subunit ribosomal RNA", at positions 40 to 274 of the family's 1831-position model. Lineage: Eukaryota; Fungi. The record is from RNAcentral.
AAGAUUAAGCCAUGCAUGUCUAAGUAUAAACAAAUUUGUACUGUGAAACUGCGAAUGGCUCAUUAUAUCAGUUAUCGUUUAUUUGAUAGUACCUUACUACAUGGAUAACCGUGGUAAUUCUAGAGCUAAUACAUGCUAAAAACCUCGACUUCGGAAGGGGUGUAUUUAUUAGAUAAAAACCAAUGCCCUUCGGGGCUCCUUGGUGAAUCAUAAUAACUUAACGAAUCGCAU